This 96-nucleotide transfer RNA is filed under the name Gnomoniopsis smithogilvyi. It matches the Rfam family "tRNA". Rfam says of the family: Transfer RNA (tRNA) molecules are approximately 80 nucleotides in length. RNAcentral also lists the same sequence under 1 other name. Lineage: Eukaryota; Fungi; Ascomycota; Sordariomycetes; Diaporthales; Gnomoniaceae. The record is from Rfam by way of RNAcentral.
GGUCGGAUGGCCGAGCGGUUAUGGCGCCAGGUUAAGGUCACCUUAACGUGUUUCCUGGUGGAGCAAUCCUCGUGGGUUCGAAUCCCACUCCGAUCA